This 713-nucleotide ribosomal RNA is filed under the name Torresitrachia sp. 'clade cut'. RNAcentral's name for it is "partial 16S ribosomal RNA". The stretch from base 294 to 531 matches the Rfam family "Archaeal large subunit ribosomal RNA", at positions 1786 to 2143 of the family's 2987-position model. Lineage: Eukaryota; Metazoa; Mollusca; Gastropoda; Stylommatophora; Camaenidae. The record is from RNAcentral.
CACGAAUUCGUGUGAGCUAACCCAUUUAAACGCUUAUGUGGCAUAAUACCCAUCAAACUUGGGUUAGGGGUGAAAGGCCUCUCAAAAACGAUGAUAUCUUGAAGUAAACGAAAUAAAUUGAGUUUGAGUUGGUUACAAAGUUAUAAGAUUUUGUAAGAGGUUCAAUAUUUAUAUUUAGGGAAUGUGGGUAUAAAAACCUACGUUGCGUGAUACUAAUAUUAAGAUAGAAAAGUUUAUCUAAGUAGUUUACGGUAGCACAACUAUGGAAUAAUCAUAAUGUUAGUAUAAGUACUUAGGAGAUAUUAAUAGUGAACUCGGCAAUAAAGCCUUCAACUGUUUAUCAAAAACAUAGCCAUAUGUUUCACUUAUGGUGUGUUCUGCUCAAUGAUGUUUAAAUAGCCGCAGUACCCUGACUGUGCAAAGGUAGCAAAAUCAUUUGUCUUUUAAUUGGAGUCGCGUAUGAAUGAAUGCAUGGGGGCUUACUUUACCAUUAAUAUAGCGCGAAAUUGCUUAAGAGGUGAAAAAACCUUUAUUUCUAUAAUAGACGAGAAGACCCUUGAAAUUUGUUUAAUAGUUUUGUUGGGGCAACAUUGUAGAUAAACCUACAAAAUGUACAUGAAAUUUAUUUGCAUGACUAAAUUACUCUAGGGAUAACAGCAUAAUUUUUAAAAGUUUGUGACCUCGAUGUUGGAUUAGGGAACUAUAACUUAAAA